RNAcentral lists this ribosomal RNA (465 nucleotides) under uncultured bacterium. RNAcentral describes it as "partial 16S ribosomal RNA". It matches the Rfam family "Bacterial small subunit ribosomal RNA", at positions 28 to 507 of the family's 1533-position model. The record is from RNAcentral.
GACGAACGCUGGCGGCGUGCUUAACACAUGCAAGUCGAACGGAAAGGCCCCUUUGGGGGUACACGAGUGGCGAACGGGUGAGUAACACGUGAGUAACCUGCCCUUGACUUCGGGAUAACUUCAGGAAACUGGGGCUAAUACCGGAUAGGAAUCCUUGCUGCAUGGUGGGGGUUGGAAAGCUUCGGCGGUUUUGGAUGGACUCGCGGCUUAUCAGCUUGUUGGUGGGGUAGUGGCUUACCAAGGCUUUGACGGGUAGCCGGCCUGAGAGGGUGACCGGCCACAUUGGGACUGAGAUACGGCCCAGACUCCUACGGGAGGCAGCAGUGGGGAAGAUUGCACAAUGGGCGGAAGCCUGAUGCAGCAACGCCGCGGGCGGGAUGACGGCCUUCGGGUUGUAAACCGCUUUCAGCAGGGGCGAAGCUUGUGGUGACGGUACCUGCAGAAGAAGCACCGGCUAACUACGUG